Molecule: long non-coding RNA, 6707 nt
Filed under: Brassica rapa (field mustard)
Lineage: Eukaryota; Viridiplantae; Streptophyta; Magnoliopsida; Brassicales; Brassicaceae
Description: long non-coding RNA (BRAP_LNC001464)
Source: RNAcentral
UAUUAGUAAUUAACAAAUUAUACUUGAUCAUAAUUUAAUAUAAUCAAAACUGAUACAUAUUAUCUGUACUAUUUUCCUAUCGAUCAUCAAUUAAUAUAAUAUAAUAUUUUAAUAUACGUAUUAUUAUCAUCCUAUUUCUUCGUAGGGUUUUUCCGUAUUAUUAUUCUAGGUUGUCAUGAAAUUUAUUUUUUUUUUUGUCGGGGAUUUAUUUAGAUAUUACAAUUAGAGAAAGAUUACAAAGACGAUUCGAUAACCGGCAAUACUACCUGCCUUAUGAGGAUCUACGCCUAACUGCAUCAUUUGAGCCGUCCUAUGAAGAUCAUGCCUGACUGGAUUUACUUGCACCAUGUUGAGAAAUCCUUGUAAGCUUUUCUUCCGUAAUCGCAUAAUUGUUGAAUAAAUCGCUUGCUCCGGAAAUUGAAACCUGGAUUUCCUGUGCAAUCUGCAAGAAAUUGCAUAGUCUGAGAUUUGAACCCCAGACCUGGGUGUCAUGAAAUUUAUUAAUCAACAUAUUUUGACUACUGACUAAAAAGAAUGAGGUAUUAGAAUGGUAGGUUUUUGUUCUAGGUGUUACCAUUAUUCUAGGUAGUCAUAAAUUUUAUUAAUGACCAUAUUUUUGACUACUACUCAAGCAUAUGCUGUAUUAUAUACAAGAAAAAGGUGAAAGAUAAAGAUGAAAUAGUCAUCUAAUUACUAGAUCAAUUCCUUGUAUGUGUCAUGAAAGUAAUUCUUCUGUCGUCUAAAGGUUAGAUCAAUUAUUUGUAUUGCCUUUGUUUAUCGAUAGAGAUGAAAGUAAUUCGCCACUUUGAUAAUGUGUUCCGUUUUUCAUAUAGAGCACAAAAAAAAAAAAAAAAAAGGAAAAACGAGACUAAGAUAAUAAAAACGAUUGAUAUCAUGAUGUCGAUUAAGAACAAAAAGAACAAUAAUAUGAGGAACGAAAAAUAAGAACAAAGAUAAAGAAAAAAUUUACAUAACUAUGAAUUUGAUCAAAAUAAAAAAUAUAUUACUAUAAAAAGUAUAUUUUUAACACCAAAUGUUUAUAUUAAAAAUUAAAGACUAAAUCGGUCACAAGAGAAAUACUCGACGGUAAGCUGAUAAGCUAAUAUGACUAAAACACUACCGAAUAUAAAAGUGGUUAAAGAGGGAAAAUUGUAGAAAAACUCCAUUUGUAGUUUUAUAGCACCUACGUUCGAAAGAACACAUAGAUAAAUCAACGUUAAAGAACCUAACCAAUGGAUUUUAAAACCACUUGAAAACCGUCUUUAAAGAUGAUUAGAUACCUUGAUAUUGCAGUGAGAUUUGGAGAGACUGUAGGAGUAGAACUACCCACAAAGUCAUCGACGGUACAACUUCUGAUGAAAAUACCAAUUUAUAAAUUCGGGAGAUGCUGAAUUUUUGUGACUAAAAAAGUACUUCAAUAUGAAGUUUGUGAUGAACAUUUUUGACAUAUUUUAUUUGUCAUAUUUUAUUUGAAAUCAAAAUAUCAAUCAAACAAUGUCGACAAUCCUUAUUGUUUCUAUGUAAGUUUGUAAUAAGAUCUCUUUACAUCCAAUGGGUGGCAUCUUUAGGGUCGCCGAAUUCCAAAAUGCACAGAGAUGAAGAGAGAUAAUAAAAGAAAAUUCUAAAUCUGAAGGGAUAAAUUGGGAUCGAGAGAUGAACCCGAGGAGACUAUAUAAAUCUUCUACACCGCAAUAAAUAACCGCCCAACACAACUGUUCUGUCGCUGGCGGCGCCUAUUAGCACGGCCCAUAUGAAUCAUAAGAAGACCGACACAAAGCCCGUUAGUAGCCAGCAACGUAACAAGCAAGAGUUACCGUCAGUGACAACCAGAGCACAAGGAUGUUGUGUGGGACGUACGGAAAAGCAUACUCUACAGCUGGGGAAUCGAUACUCGCUACUCUCUGUCGCCACGUGAUUAGGUCACAGCUGUAGAGGAUCCAGAUCCUUCUUCUUCUCUUUAUAUAAAUAUCAAACAUUGUAACAAGAGAACGUUAAGCAAUAAAGUUAUAAGCUUGAGACAAACCCUUUGCUCUGUUUUACUCUGUUAACCUUCAUGGUAUCAGAGCUCAGCAAGUAGAUCAUGGAACCAAAUCCAGAUCCAGUUUCUGCGACGAAUCUUACCAUCACUCAGUGUGUUACGCUCAAGCUCAAGGAUGACAACUAUCUCAUCUGGAAACUGCAGUUCGAGCAGUUCCUUUCUUCUCAGGCGCUUCUGGGCUACGUCAACGGAGCCAUGCCACGACCUCCUCAAACCGUCACUGGGACACAAGGAGAACAGACUACCGAAGCAGCAAACCCUGAGUUUCUCCGAUGGGUUCAAAAAGAUCAGCUCAUCAUGGCUUGGAUCUACGGAACCUUAUCGGAGAACGCUCUUCGCACUGUCUACGGUCUCAACACUUCUCAGGAGGUCUGGCACUGUCUCGGUCAGAAGUACAACCGCGUUUCUGCUACCAGGAAGCUCGCUCUUCAGAGAAAGGUUCAAACUUUAUCAAAAGGAAACCGAACCAUGUCCGUCUAUCUCACUGAAAUCAAGACAUUGUGUGACCAACUUGACUCGAUUGGUGCUGCUAUUCCAGAAAGCGAGAAGAUUUUUGGUAUGCUUAAUGGUUUAGGAAAGGAAUAUGAGUCCAUUACUGCUGUUAUUGAAAACUCGAUGGACUCAUUUCCCGCACCAUCUCUUGAUGACGUCAUGUCCAAGCUUAUCUCCUUCGAUGAUAAGCUUCAGAACUAUGCUGCCGCCACUGAAGUCACUCCUCACCAAGCAUUCUACACUAACCGCGGUGGAUACUCUGGCCGUGGUCGUGGUCAGUCUCGAGGAGGAUACAGAGGACGUGGAUACUCUACACAAGGAAGGGGCUUCUAUCAACAGUUUGGUCCUAGCAAUGGACGUGGCACACAACAGAAUACUACAUCUCCUACUUGUCAAAUCUGUGGAAAGUUUGGUCAUGCAGCCUACAAAUGUUACAGAAGGUUUGAUCAAGACUUUCAACCGAGUCAUCAUCCUCAAGCAAACACAGUUAUGCGAACAGUGGAAGAGUCAGACUACGCUGGCAAUGACUGGUAUCCUGAUACUGCUGCUACUCAUCACAUCACCAGUUCCACUCAGCAUCUUCAGACUGCUCAGCCGUACUCUGGUUCUGAUUCAGUGAUUGUUGGCAAUGGUGACUUCCUUCCCAUCACGCACGUCGGCUCCAUUGCUAUUCCAUCGCUUUCAGGUACAUUACCUCUUAACGAUGUCUUAGUUUGCCCUCAGAUAACAAAAUCACUCCUGUCUGUGUCGAAGUUGACUGAUGAUUAUCCAUGUGAAUUCACAUUUGACUCACAAAAUGUACUUGUUAAGGACAAACAGACACAGCAGCUUCUCAGUCAAGGAAGCAAGCGUAAAGGUCUGUAUCGGCUUGAGAAUCCACAGUUUCUUGCGUUCUACUCAUCAAGACAGCAGAGUACGAGUGAUGGGACUUGGCACAAGAGAUUGGGGCAUCCUCACCAUCAGAUACUUCAGCAUCUAUCAUCAAGCAAAGCUAUUUCUAUAAAUAAAGUCUCUAAGACUGUGUGUGUGUCUUGUCAGUUAGGAAAAGUCUGCAAACUUCCUUUUUCCAGUUCUGUUUUUGAGUCUCUGAAACCUCUAGAGAGGAUACAUUGUGAUGUAUGGGGUCCUGCUCCUGUAACUUCAGUUCAAGGCUUCAGAUAUUACAUCAUUUUUAUUGAUAAUCAUUCAAGAUUCAGCUGGCUAUAUCCACUUAAACUCAAGUCUGAAGUGUUUGCAACUUUCAAAUCCUUUCAAUGUUUAGUGGAAAACCAGUUUGAAAGAAAGAUACAGAUUCUACAAACUGAUGGAGGAGGUGAGUUUGUCAACAACCAAUUUGCCUCUCAUCUCACACACUGUGGAAUCAAGCAUUAUCUCUCAUGUCCUCACACGCCAGAACAGAACGGAUUAGCGGAAAGAAAGCAUCGUCAUCUUGUGGAAUUAGGAAUGUCGAUGAUGUUUGAAGCAAAAAUGCCUCAGUCGCUCUGGGUUGAAGCACUGUUUACGGCUAACUUCUUAACAAACCUGCUUCCUCACACAGCACUUGGGAAAACAAGUAGUCCUUAUGAGAAGCUAAAUGGAUUCACACCUCACUACUCAGCCUUGCGUGUUUUUGGAUGUGCUUGCUACCCCUAUCUGCGCCCAUACUCGCAAAAUAAAUUUGAUCCCAAGAGUCUGUUGUGUGUUUUCUUGGGUUAUACGGAAAAGCAGAAAGGAUAUCGCUGCCUUCAUCCUCCAACAGGAAGGGUAUAUCUCAGUCGUCAUGUUCUCUUCGAUGAAACUAGAUUUCCGUAUGCCGACACCUAUCAAUCAUUUCUUCCUCAAGCUACUACUCCGCUACUAUCUGCUUGGUUAAAAGGUCUAAGUCCCAGCCAAGAAGAAGAAAAAGAGACAGUAUCUGAAAAGGUUGAUGAUCAAGUUAUCACUGGCAGUAGAAGACAAGCUACUCCACCUCAGGAACAAGGCAAUGCAGCUGAGGUCUUUCAACUUGUCGAAGAUGACUUCCCUCCACUCCCACCACCAUCUCCAGUCCAAAAUCUGAUCCAACCUCAAGAAGACAACACUCACACUAUGGUAACUCGGGCAAAAGCUGGCGUGAGAAAGCCAAACCCCCGUUACGUCCUUCACACGGUGAAAAGUGAAGUAACAAAACCAAAAAAUCUAGCAGAAGCCUUGCAUCAUCCAGGUUGGACUGCAGCUAUGGUCGAUGAAUAUGAUACAUGUCAGGAGACGAAAACUUGGAGUCUUGUUCCUCCUCCCUCGCAUGCUCACGUUCUUGGCUGUGGUUGGGUUCACAAGAUCAAGCUCAACGCAGAUGGAACAGUAGAGAAGCUUCGCUCCAGACUAGUGGCAAGAGGUAAUGAACAGGAGGAAGGUGUGGACUAUCUUGAAACCUAUAGUCCCGUUGUGAGGACAGCAACGAUCCGAAUGGUUUUACACACAGCAACUGUAAAUCGAUGGGACAUCAAACAGUUAGAUGUGAAGAACGCGUUUCUUCACGGGGAUCUAUCAGAGACUGUCUACAUGAGACAGCCACCAGGGUUCGAAGACGCUGCUCAUCCUGACCAUGUGUGUCUUCUUCACAAAGCUAUCUACGGACUGAAACAAGCCCCGCGUGCUUGGUUUGAUAAAUUCAGUGCAUUCCUUCUCAACUUCGGGUUUAUAUGCAGUGUCAAAGAUCCCUCUCUCUUCAUAUAUCAUCACGGUGAUACCACUAUCUUCUUACUAUUAUACGUUGAUGAUAUGGUGCUUACGGGAAACGACACGUCUGUUAUGAGAAAGCUUCUUCAAUCUCUCAGCUCAGAGUUCAGAAUGAAAGAUAUGGGUCCUUUAAGCUACUUUCUUGGAAUUCAAGUGAGGUAUACUCCAACAGGUCUGUUUCUGAAUCAAGAAAAGUAUGCUUCUGAGCUUUUACAAACCGCAGGGAUGCUUGACUGUGCUCCCAUGCCCACACCCUUACCCCUUCAGAUAGACAGAGUUCCGCACCAAGACGAGCUCUUUACUGACCCCACUUACUUCAGAAGUCUUGCAGGCAAGCUUCAGUAUUUGACAUUGACCAGGCCAGAUCUUCAGUUUGCAGUCAACUUGGUCUGUCAAAGGAUGCAUAAACCGACUUUGGCUGAUUUUCAUAUGCUUAAACGUGUUCUACGGUACGUAAAAGGAACACUGACGAUGGGACUACACUUUCAUUCUGACUCAGACUCAAGUCUCAAAGCCUUCUGCGAUAGUGACUGGGCUGGGUGUAGUGAAACAAGAAGAUCAACUGGAGGUUUCUGCACCAUACUUGGCUCUAAUCUCAUCUCUUGGUCUGCUACUAAACAAGACUCUGUAUCUCGCUCAUCAACUGAAGCAGAAUACAGAUGCUUAUCUGACACAGCAGCUGAACUUUCUUGGAUAAUUGAUGCUCUCAAAGAACUUGGCUUUCCUGUGACAAAGCCUGCGGAAGCCUACUGUGACAAUCUAUCUGCGGUUCAUCUUACAGCAAAUCCCGUCCUGCACAAGAAGUCUAAACACUUUGCUACUCAUUACCACUACGCUCGAGAACAAGUAGCUAAAGGUACUCUGAUCGUACGACAUGUUCCAGCUUCCUCUCAGCUGGCUGACAUCUUUACAAAGUCACUGCCUCAAGCAGCGUUCUAUUCCUUGCGGUCCAAACUCGGUGUUGUGCCUUCACCCACCACGAGUUUGCGAGGGGAUAUUAGCACGGCCCAUAUGAAUCAUAAGAAGACCGACACAAAGCCCGUUAGUAGCCAGCAACGUAACAAGCAAGAGUUACCGUCAGUGACAACCAGAGCACAAGGAUGUUGUGUGGGACGUACGGAAAAGCAUACUCUACAGCUGGGGAAUCGAUACUCGCUACUCUCUGUCGCCACGUGAUUAGGUCACAGCUGUAGAGGAUCCAGAUCCUUCUUCUUCUCUUUAUAUAAAUAUCAAACAUUGUAACAAGAGAACGUUAAGCAAUAAAGUUAUAAGCUUGAGACAAACCCUUUGCUCUGUUUUACUCUGUUAACCUUCAGCGCCAUCUCUCUUGCUUCAUUGCUUCGAACUCUCGUAGCCCAAUUAAAUAGAUAUGUGAGCAUAUAACUGAAGAGGAAGACAAACAAUCAAUAGUCAUAAUCAAGCAAUAACCAUUACAUAGAGAAAGAGAGAGAGUGAACAGACGAUUUGUGUCAAAGAAAAC